This 371-nucleotide long non-coding RNA is filed under the name Amborella trichopoda. RNAcentral's name for it is "long non-coding RNA (ATRI_LNC004463)". Lineage: Eukaryota; Viridiplantae; Streptophyta; Magnoliopsida; Amborellales; Amborellaceae. The record is from RNAcentral.
CUGAAUAUGUGUAGGUUAUUAUCAUUGUUGUUGUUAUUAUUAUCAUUACUAUCGUUAUUAUUAUUAAAUAGUGAGCAUGUAUGGCUGAAUAUGUGUUCUUGUUUUGAUUUACAACGUAUCGGCUCUAUGGUAAAUUUUAUUGAUAGGCCAUGACUCAACUUGUUCCCGUAGUUUGAUUUAGACCCACAUUCUAUAGAUUUUAAGAGGAGGUUGCAUCCCAUAAAUUUGAUUAUCCUCUCAAAAGCGAAAUGUAUGGAAAUUUCUUGAAAAGUAUAGCAUCCACAUCUUGGUAUACAAGUACUGUUUCAAUUUGACAGCCACAAAUCAAUUUUAUUUUUUUAUUUGUAAUAUUGUACAAAAAUCAUAUUUAC